UUUUGGACGAUGGGCGCAAGCCUGAUCCAGCAAUGCCGCGUGCAGGAUGAAGGCCUUCGGGUUGUAAACUGCUUUUGUACGGAACGAAACGGUCCUUUCUAAUACAAGGGGCUAAUGACGGUACCGUAAGAAUAAGCACCGGCUAACUACGUGCCAGCAGCCGCGGUAAUACGUAGGGUGCGAGCGUUAAUCGGAAUUACUGGGCGUAAAGCGUGCGCAGGCGGUUAUAUAAGACAGAUGUGAAAUCCCCGGGCUCAACCUGGGACCUGCAUUUGUGACUGUAUAGCUAGAGUACGGUAGAGGGGGAUGGAAUUCCGCGUGUAGCAGUGAAAUGCGUAGAUAUGCGGAGGAACACCGACGGCGAAGGCAAUCCCCUGGACCUGUACUGACGCUCAUGCACGAAA
RNAcentral lists this ribosomal RNA (404 nucleotides) under uncultured bacterium. RNAcentral describes it as "bacterial SSU rRNA". It matches the Rfam family "Bacterial small subunit ribosomal RNA", at positions 362 to 758 of the family's 1533-position model. The record is from RNAcentral.